This 376-nucleotide ribosomal RNA is filed under the name uncultured organism. Its description in RNAcentral is "partial 16S ribosomal RNA". It matches the Rfam family "Bacterial small subunit ribosomal RNA", at positions 527 to 896 of the family's 1533-position model. The record is from RNAcentral.
GUAGGGGGCGAGCGUUGUCCGGAUUUAUUGGGCGUAAAGGGCUCGUAGGCGGCUUGGCAAGUCGGCCGUGAAAACCCGGGGCUCAACCCCGGGACGCCGGUCGAAACUGCCAUGGCUAGGGUCCGGUAGAGGUGAGUGGAAUUCUCGGUGUAGCGGUGAAAUGCGCAGAUAUCGAGAGGAACACCAUUAGCGAAGGCGGCUCACUGGGCCGGUACCGACGCUGAGGAGCGAAAGCGUGGGGAGCAAACAGGAUUAGAUACCCUGGGUAGUCCACGCCGUAAACGUUGAACACUAGGUGUGGCGGGUUUAUUCACGCCUGCCCGUGCCGCAGCUAACGCAUUAAGUGUUCCGCCUGGGGAGUACGGCCGCAAGGCUA